UUCAUAUAUAAGGAUGAACUCAAUCGUCACACAAUUGGUUUUAGGACAUAAUUCCCAACUACUCCCAUUUGGACUAAAGCCAAUCGGGGCAGUAUCUUAUACCCAUCUUCCAUUUGAAGUCAUCGAACUCUUUGAUACCGAGAGCUUUAGUGAAGGGAUCGGCUAGGUUCUUUUUUCUGUCGAUCUUCUGAAGCUUGACAUCACCUCGGUUCAUGAUCUCUCGCACUAGAUGAUAGCAGAACAUGUUCAGUGUGAUGGUGCGACUAAGGUUCUUUCGCCUGAGCUAUGGCACUGGAGCUAUCACAAUACAAUAGGACAGGACCAUCAAUGGAAGGUACAACUCUCAUUUCGAUAAUAAACUUUUACAACCACAUCACCUCC
Molecule: long non-coding RNA, 381 nt
Filed under: Elaeis guineensis (African oil palm)
Lineage: Eukaryota; Viridiplantae; Streptophyta; Magnoliopsida; Arecales; Arecaceae
Description: long non-coding RNA (EGUI_LNC050022)
Source: RNAcentral